Molecule: ribosomal RNA, 496 nt
Filed under: uncultured bacterium
Lineage: Bacteria
Description: partial 16S ribosomal RNA
Rfam family: Bacterial small subunit ribosomal RNA
Source: RNAcentral
GAUGAACGCUGGCGGCGUGCCUAAUACAUGCAAGUCGAGCGAACAGACGAGGAGCUUGCUCCUCUGACGUUAGCGGCGGACGGGUGAGUAACACGUGGAUAACCUACCUAUAAGACUGGGAUAACUUCGGGAAACCGGAGCUAAUACCGGAUAAUAUAUUGAACCGCAUGGUUCAAUAGUGAAAGACGGUUUUGCUGUCACUUAUAGAUGGAUCCGCGCCGCAUUAGCUAGUUGGUAAGGUAACGGCUUACCAAGGCAACGAUGCGUAGCCGACCUGAGAGGGGGACGGGCCCCCGUGGAAUUGGGACACGGCCCAAACCCCUAGGGGGGGCCAGAGGAGGAAAUUUUCCGAAAUGGGGGAAACCCUGAGGGGGAAACGCCGGGGGGGUGAUGAAGGUUUUCGGAUUGAAAAACUUUGUUAUUGGGGAAGAAAAAAUGUGAAAGUAACUAUGCCCGUUUUGAGGGUACCUAAUCAGAAAGCCCCGGCUAACUACGG